GCGGGGCGGAGCUACCAUGCAGUCGAGCGGAACGAUGGAAGCUUGCUUCCAGGCGUCGAGCGGCGGACGGGUGAGUAAUGCAUAGGAAUCUGCCCGAUAGUGGGGGAUAACCUGGGGAAACCCAGGCUAAUACCGCAUACGUCCUACGGGAGAAAGCAGGGGAUCUUCGGACCUUGCGCUAUCGGAUGAGCCUAUGUCGGAUUAGCUAGUUGGUGAGGUAACGGCUCACCAAGGCCGCGAUCCGUAGCUGGUCUGAGAGGAUGAUCAGCCACAUCGGGACUGAGACACGGCCCGAACUCCUACGGGAGGCAGCAGUGGGGAAUAUUGGACAAUGGGCGAAAGCCUGAUCCAGCCAUGCCGCGUGUGUGAAGAAGGCUUUCGGGUUGUAAAGCACUUUCAGUGGGGAAGAAAUCCUCGGGGCCAAUACCCUCGAGGGAGGACAUCACCCACAGAAGAAGCACCGGCUAACUCCGUGCCAGCAGCCGCGGUAAUACGGAGGGUGCGAGCGUUAAUCGGAAUUACUGGGCGUAAAGCGCGCGUAGGCGGCGUGAUAAGCCGGUUGUGAAAGCCCCGGGCUCAACCUGGGAACGGCAUCCGGAACUGUCAGGCUAGAGUGCAGGAGAGGAAGGUAGAAUUCCCGGUGUAGCGGUGAAAUGCGUAGAGAUCGGGAGGAAUACCAGUGGCGAAGGCGGCCUUCUGGACUGACACUGACGCUGAGGUGCGAAAGCGUGGGUAGCAAACAGGAUUAGAUACCCUGGUAGUCCACGCCGUAAACGAUGUCGACUAGCCGUUGGGGUCCUUGUGACCUUUGUGGCGCAGUUAACGCGAUAAGUCGACCGCCUGGGGAGUACGGCCGCAAGGUUAAAACUCAAAUGAAUUGACGGGGGCCCGCACAAGCGGUGGAGCAUGUGGUUUAAUUCGAUGCAACGCGAAGAACCUUACCUACUCUUGACAUCGUGCGAACUUUCCAGAGAUGGAUUGGUGCCUUCGGGAACGCACAGACAGGUGCUGCAUGGCCGUCGUCAGCUCGUGUUGUGAAAUGUUGGGUUAAGUCCCGUAACGAGCGCAACCCUUGUCCCUAUUUGCCAGCGAUUCGGUCGGGAACUCUAGGGAGACUGCCGGUGACAAACCGGAGGAAGGUGGGGACGACGUCAGGUCAUCAUGGCCCUUACGAGUAGGGCUACACACGUGCUACAAUGGCCGGUACAAAGGGUUGCGAAGCCGCGAGGUGGAGCUAAUCCCGAAAAGCCGGUCUCAGUCCGGAUCGGAGUCUGCAACUCGACUCCGUGAAGUCGGAAUCGCUAGUAAUCGUGAAUCAGAAUGUCACGGUGAAUACGUUCCCGGGCCUUGUACACACCGCCCGUCACACCAUGGGAGUGGACUGCACCAGAAGUGGUUAGCCUAACUUCGGAGGGCGAUCACCACGGUGGGUGGA
RNAcentral lists this ribosomal RNA (1435 nucleotides) under Halomonas sp. X13. Its description in RNAcentral is "bacterial SSU rRNA". It matches the Rfam family "Bacterial small subunit ribosomal RNA". Lineage: Bacteria; Pseudomonadati; Pseudomonadota; Gammaproteobacteria; Oceanospirillales; Halomonadaceae. The record is from RNAcentral.